ACUCCUGCGGGAGGCAGCAGUGGGGAAUUUUGGACAAUGGGCGAAAGCCUGAUCCAGCAAUGCCGCGUGAGUGAAGAAGGCCUUCGGGUUGUAAAGCUCUUUUGUCAGGGAAGAAACGGUGAGAGCUAAUAUCUUUUGCUAAUGACGGUACCUGAAGAAUAAGCACCGGCUAACUACGUGCCAGCAGCCGCGGUAAUACGUAGGGUGCAAGCGUUAAUCGGAAUUACUGGGCGUAAAGCGUGCGCAGGCGGUUUUGUAAGUCUGAUGUGAAAUCCCCGGGCUCAACCUGGGAAUUGCAUUGGAGACUGCAAUGCUAGAAUCUGGCAGAGGGGGGUAGAAUUCCACGUGUAGCAGUGAAAUGCGUAGAUAUGUGGAGGAACACCGAUGGCGAAGGCAGCCCCCUGGGUCAAGAUUGACGCUCAUGCACGAAAGCGUGGGGAGCAAACAGGAUUAGAAACCCUAGUAGUCCC
RNAcentral lists this ribosomal RNA (470 nucleotides) under uncultured organism. RNAcentral's name for it is "partial 16S ribosomal RNA". It matches the Rfam family "Bacterial small subunit ribosomal RNA", at positions 335 to 797 of the family's 1533-position model. The record is from RNAcentral.